Molecule: long non-coding RNA, 1016 nt
Filed under: Sinocyclocheilus grahami
Lineage: Eukaryota; Metazoa; Chordata; Actinopteri; Cypriniformes; Cyprinidae
Description: lncRNA (ENSSGRG00000006391.1)
Source: RNAcentral
CAUCAAUGAUGCUGGAUGAUGUGUUUUGCACCAAAGUUGAAUACUUAUUGUAACUGUAAGUACAGCAAUAGCAAUUGUGAUGUUUGUCAUGUGUGUGUGUGUUAGUUACUGAGCUGUUUACUGGAACCAUAAUCAUGAUCUUUACUACUGUCAUUCAUUCAUUAAAGCGUGUGUGUGUUUGUAUGUCUACCCACAAUCUCUUUUCUCUGUCACACAAUCCUUUUCCUUCCUCAUUGAUUAGUUAGCGAUCUCAACAAUUCAAACAAGUGAGUAAACCAAUUCCUUGGCCCCCUUAACCGGUUUACCCCUAAUUAAGGAAGUCAACUGUUAGUCAUACUUAUCUUUAUUAGCAUGAGCGCACAUGUGUGGUCGUCACAUCAAGUGUAAGAAAACCGUUGGCAAAUAGCUAAUGAAAAAGAAAAUAGUCAGGCCAAUAAAACUCAUUUAGAAUAGAACUUUAUUACAUCACGCUGACGUUUUGUGAUCAAUGAUUUUGGGGGUACAAAUAGGCUGGGAAUAAAAACCAGACAAGAACCACCGGACAACAGCUAAAGUGCUACGAGAACAUCAAACUGAGGGUGUGGAAAUGUCUGUUCUCACAAGUCUGACGCAAGUGUCCAUCCUUGCGAUAUUUCUCAUCCAGUGCGCGACCAGCCUUCCGGUUCUGGACAGGUAUCUUGGAGAAGAGGACAGCAUCUCAACAGCGGACACAUUUUCUCCUAGAAAGAUGUUGUUUCCUAGGGAUGAUGCAGAUAUGCUUUUUGAUGACCGAGACGGGAGAUCUGGGCUUCAGACGAGGCAGUUGGGCGACAUCGAGUUCACAAACAGAUAUGCUGAACUCCUGAAAUCCAAAGCUAAAAUCACAUCCAUCUGCGCCCUCCUGAAACGCAUGCAAAGCAGCAAGAAAAGGUAAAGCCUCCGAUAUGCUCAUCCAAAUCAAGAGAUCUUUUGAUUUACAUUUGUGCGCUUGAUAUUUGCAGCUAAGUUCCCUGAUAACACACGUAGGCCUACAUCAC